Xylaria nigripes is the source of this 72-nucleotide non-coding RNA. Lineage: Eukaryota; Fungi; Ascomycota; Sordariomycetes; Xylariales; Xylariaceae. The record is from the annotation of a GenBank genome assembly.
GCCCGGUUGGUGUAGUGGUUAUCACGCUCGAAGCAAAUUCGAGAGACCUUGGUUCAAAUCCAAGACUGGGCA